Molecule: long non-coding RNA, 1151 nt
Filed under: Homo sapiens (human)
Lineage: Eukaryota; Metazoa; Chordata; Mammalia; Primates; Hominidae
Description: HSALNT0224032
Source: RNAcentral
UGAAGUUUCUCUUGGUGGUGGAAUGACAAGAAGACAUGGUCCCAUGGGUAUUCUGGCAACAUCCCCUAUGGUGGCAAAAGAUGAUGUGGCUGCUGCCCAGAGCCCUGGCACGAAGCCUGUGGCCACCUCUGACAAACACCCACAAACAUGCAGCGGAGCUAAAUAAAGAGCCGUUUCGUGAGCAUCCCUGGCAGAGAUGAGCAACACUUUCUCUGCCUCCUCAGAAAACAGUUUUCUGGAACAUCAAGCCAAAGGAAAGGUGUAAUUUAUUGUGGGGAUUGCAUAUUACAUAAUUAGUUUUUGGGAGUUCCUUCGGUAAUUACAAUCUGUAACAUUUGUAAUUGAUUUGGUCAGAUUAAAAAUGGAUGUGUUGGUGCAUCUGUGAAACUAGCAAGAGGGCAAGGAGGAGUGGGAGGGGGAAAUGUCUCACUGAAGGAGACCAAGAGCAACCUGGACUCAGGCCAAGCCCCAGAUGACACCAUUUCUGGAGCCAAAAGCACAGCAGGCCUCUAAGAUGCACACUCAGCAGGUGUGCUGUGAACUGGAACAGCAGCUCUCUCUUCAGGCGGGGACCAGCUGCUGAAGGUUCCUGGACUCAGAGAAUCCCAUCCCAGUGGCUGUUCCUCCAACACUGAGAGCUCCAAACAGAGAGGAGGAGCUGCUCCUGAAACACAGCUGCUGUGGAGGUUAUGGGAGGAAGACCAGGCAUUCAGGAAAAGGAGUAAAAUGUCCCAGUUGAGCAGGCUGAUUAGCUAACAUUGAACGAGCACCUACUGCCUAUAAAGCAUUGCAGAAAACUACAAACUCUCAGAAACAGAGCCUUAAGGAAGUCCAGUAGAGGACAGAUCUGGGUGCAGAUGAUUACAUUACAAUGUGGUGGGCAAGUGCUUUACAAGAAAAACAGAAAGAGAUUGAAGAUAUAGAAGAGAGAAACAAAGAAAGGAGCAGAGAAAGAAAAGCGAAGGAGAAAGGAGGAAAAUAGAAGUACCGAGGAGCACCCGCACUGGGCCAUGAACAAGAAGCUUGAUGGAUAGGAGGGAUGGCCUUGUGGAGAAAAGAGUAUUUUUCUCCAGAACAGGUGUCAGCCAACUACAUUCUGCAACAUAAAUCUGGCCCACUGCCUGUUUUUGUAAACAAAGGUUUUGUUUUGG